RNAcentral lists this ribosomal RNA (253 nucleotides) under uncultured bacterium. RNAcentral describes it as "partial 16S ribosomal RNA". It matches the Rfam family "Bacterial small subunit ribosomal RNA", at positions 524 to 776 of the family's 1533-position model. The record is from RNAcentral.
UACAGAGGUCUCAAGCGUUGUUCGGAUUCAUUGGGCGUAAAGGGUGCGUAGGUGGCGCCGUAAGUCGGGUGUGAAAUUUCGGAGCUUAACUCCGAAACUGCAUUCGAUACUGCGGUGCUUGAGGACUGGAGAGGAGACUGGAAUUUACGGUGUAGCGGUGAAAUGCGUAGAUAUCGUAAGGAAGACCAGUGGCGAAGGCGGGUCUCUGGACAGUUCCUGACGCUGAAGCACGAAGGCCAGGGGAGCAAACGGG